UCUCUUCAUGUGUUUUGGCCGUGUUUUUUACAAGAUUUUGGUGGAUUUUUUAGUGGGUUUGUUUUGUUUUCCUUAUAGCUUUUGUGGGUUUUGUUUUUUAGUCGGUGUUCUGUCCAAGCUUUGACUUUUUGUUGUUUUCUUGGUGAGAAAACAAUCCAGGAAACAUAAUGUGUUGCUUUUUUUUUUUAAUUAAGCUGUGCAUUUAAUUCCUAUCAUGGGUGUUUUGCGUUGGAUUUUUGUGUAAAUCCUGGUCCAUUGAAGGAAAGAAUUAAAGUGCAGUUAUUAGUGGCAUAUUAAUCAGGGAUUUUAGGGCAGACUCAUUAAAAGUGGGUUGUUUCUAGUUGUGAAGGGGUUCCAGAGGCCGGAAGUUAUACCAAAAAACGGAUAUUAGGAUUUGUGUUGCUGGGGUUUCGGUUUGAGGUAGGUGUCAAUGUGUUUUAUGUUGUUGGUUUUACUGGUUUGAGUUCGUAGAGCUGAUCAUGAAUUUUAUAGUCAGGACACCCUCAUCAUUUGCGACUGCCUGUUUAUUGUCUGACUGUACUGACUUGGUCUGAUAAAUUCUCACAUUAUUGUCUCAAAUUGAUGCCAAAGUAUUUUAGGAAAACGUUAAUGGUAUCGAUGCAUUAGCGGUUCAAAUUGAGAAAAUAAUACAUCUUCGUUUCUACAUGGUUUAUACAUGUAGGGCUAAUCAAUGUCUAAGCAAUUUUACUACACGCUCUUGAGGUUGUUUCACUCUUUGAUGCAAAAUGCUGGUAUGAUACAUUAGGCUGUUGAGAUAUUGCCAAAUGGUCGAAUCAUGUAAAGAUGCGCACAAAAAAGCUAUCAGCCUUUUUUUAUUUUUAAACAUCAUCCUUGUUUUCUAUCUUUUUGUGGUUCUCUACCUUAGGUUCUCCAGACACCUGAUUUUCGGGAUUGCAAAGCAGCUCAUGAACUUCGAUCACAUGACCACAGCGGCGGGGCUUGGGAAGAAUGUGGGAGGGAGACAAUUACCAGAUAGACACCGGGAUGGGGGAAUACAACAGCCCUCGCAUAUAUCUGCAGAAACAAUCACCUCGCAGAUGAAGUUAGAUGAUGGCCUGAAGAUCCGAGGAAGCUAUGUUGUCGGUGGGUCAGUUUAUGGUUGGAAAUUCAUUACAUGGGCAGGUAGUAGACCAAAUUAUUACGGGGUGACAAAGGAAUCGCACAGAAAUACCCUCAAGAAGCCAGCAGCUGGUGGUUCCCAUUGCAACUAGGGCACAUAAGUAACAUAGCGAAGCCAUUUAUCUUAAGAGAUGAUUGUAGCCAUUUUGCACAGUAGAAUAGAAAAUUUUGAUGAGAGAAGCCACCAUUAAUGAUGCAAGUACAACAUAUACACAGAGCAGACCAGUUUAUUUUGCUAAUUGAGAUGGGUAGAAACCGGUCUUUACCGUGAGUAUUUUCAUCACAUUGCUACUGAGACUUGCUGAGUUUCAUGCUCUUGCAGAAAUAGGGGAGCGAUAGAUCCUUUAACAAUUUUAUAUUUAGGCUUCUUUUGCGAAUCACUGUAAAGCCUGGCUUUGUUUUAAUGCCAAGAGAUGCACCUCAGUUUUCCAUUA
This is an RNA transcript of Populus trichocarpa (black cottonwood), 1574 nucleotides long. RefSeq lists it as uncharacterized. The transcript has 2 exons. NCBI's taxonomy places the organism in Eukaryota, Viridiplantae, Streptophyta, Magnoliopsida, Malpighiales, Salicaceae. The record is from RefSeq and is a predicted model, not a curated record.